UAAUGUAAUUACUACAAGACUAAUGCAUUAUAUCUCAUUAGAUCUUGAAAUUUAAGUGUGUUUGGGAUAGAGUAGUACUAGGAUGGGUGACCUCUCGGGAAGCCCUAUUGUUUUACAUUCC
Molecule: non-coding RNA, 121 nt
Organism: Picea glauca (white spruce)
Lineage: Eukaryota; Viridiplantae; Streptophyta; Pinopsida; Pinales; Pinaceae
Source: Rfam